RNAcentral lists this ribosomal RNA (716 nucleotides) under uncultured bacterium. RNAcentral describes it as "bacterial SSU rRNA". It matches the Rfam family "Bacterial small subunit ribosomal RNA", at positions 785 to 1501 of the family's 1533-position model. The record is from RNAcentral.
CCCUGGUAGUCCACGCCGUAAACGAUGUCGACUUGGAGGUUGUUCCCUUGAGGAGUGGCUUCCGGAGCUAACGCGUUAAGUCGACCGCCUGGGGAGUACGGCCGCAAGGUUAAAACUCAAAUGAAUUGACGGGGGCCCGCAUAAGCGGUGGAGCAUGUGGUUUAAUUCGAUGCAACGCGAAGAACCUUACCUACUCUUGACAUCCACGGAAUUCGGCAGAGAUGCCUUAGUGCCUUCGGGAACCGUGAGACAGGUGCUGCAUGGCUGUCGUCAGCUCGUGUUGUGAAAUGUUGGGUUAAGUCCCGCAACGAGCGCAACCCUUAUCCUUUGUUGCCAGCGAUUCGGUCGGGAACUCAAAGGAGACUGCCGGUGAUAAACCGGAGGAAGGUGGGGAUGACGUCAAGUCAUCAUGGCCCUUACGAGUAGGGCUACACACGUGCUACAAUGGCGCAUACAAAGAGAAGCGACCUCGCGAGAGCAAGCGGACCUCAUAAAGUGCGUCGUAGUCCGGAUCGGAGUCUGCAACUCGACUCCGUGAAGUCGGAAUCGCUAGUAAUCGUGGAUCAGAAUGCCACGGUGAAUACGUUCCCGGGCCUUGUACACACCGCCCGUCACACCAUGGGAGUGGGUUGCAAAAGAAGUAGGUAGCUUAACCUUCGGGAGGGCGCUUACCACUUUGUGAUUCAUGACUGGGGUGAAGUCGUAACAAGGUAACC